UUUGUCCUACGGGGGGCAGCAGUGAGGAAUAUUGGUCAAUGGCCGCAGGGCUGAACCAGCCAAGUCGCGUGAGGGAUGACGGUCCUAUGGAUUGUAAACCUCUUUUGUCAGGGAGCAAAGGGCGCCACGUGUGGCGUUUUGCGAGUACCUGAAGAAAAAGCAUCGGCUAACUCCGUGCCAGCAGCCGCGGUAAUACGGAGGAUGCGAGCGUUAUCCGGAUUUAUUGGGUUUAAAGGGUGCGCAGGCGGAGGUGCAAGUCAGCGGUCAAAUUGCGGGGCUCAACCCCGUACUGCCGUUGAAACUGG
This 305-nucleotide ribosomal RNA is filed under the name uncultured bacterium. RNAcentral describes it as "bacterial SSU rRNA". It matches the Rfam family "Bacterial small subunit ribosomal RNA", at positions 333 to 636 of the family's 1533-position model. The record is from RNAcentral.